Acinonyx jubatus (cheetah) is the source of this 10265-nucleotide long non-coding RNA. RefSeq lists it as uncharacterized. The transcript is spliced from 2 exons. NCBI's taxonomy places the organism in Eukaryota, Metazoa, Chordata, Mammalia, Carnivora, Felidae. The record is from RefSeq and is a predicted model, not a curated record.
ACUAACAGGUAAAUGCAGCUCCAGUGCCUAUGAACUUCUGUCAGUCAUGGCAAAACACGGAUCUGCUAAAAGAGUCUGGGAAAGGAGAAUCUGAAGAUGCGUGAAUGAGUAAACAAAAUAAGGGGCAAGGCAGUUUCCCUCCUGUGAACAUCUUGAGCAAUCAGACAGCUCUCCAAGAUGGCGUAGAUGAAUCUCCCCAUCACUACUCCAUGCUGAAUUGGUCAUGGCUUGAACAUGUGUAGGUUAUGGGAAAACUUUGAGUCUGGCUCUGCUGAAAUCAAACUUUUCCUCCUCCCUGAUUUUUACCGUAGUCACUCUUCUGGAAAUUACUUGCACGUGGUUGAUAGAGUAUCAGUUUGGGGCUAAGAAAAUGGCAGCCAGGACCCAUUUGGUCAUAUGAUGAGCAGUAACAGGAAAAAACAGGGAAGAGAUAAAACGUAAAACUGGGUGGGCCUGUGCCAAGGGGAGGAUGUCUAGUGCCCUUUUGCUUUCUCAACAAAAUUACGAAAUUAUGCGCUUUGACUCGCGUGGCUAAGCAGAUGUUCUCUUUGCUGCGAAUCUGUUAGCUCCUUGCUUACUCUGCCGAGUGGGUGGCGCAAAAAAAGAUGAGCUGCAAAGAAGGAGCCGGCAGUGACAGGAAAAGUCACGGGGCGUGAGAGAUUAGGAGCUGAGGGACAGCGACCCUGAAUUGAGACGAAAGGGGCUUCCGAAGGAGCAAGCCUGCAGCAUGUUUAGUUAACGUCUUUCCAACAAAGGAGAAAUUUUGUGCAGCCACAGAUCAUUUGCAAUUCAAAGAGCAGGAGGCAAACCGAGUUGAGAACAUACUUUGUGUGGAAAGGCAUUCAUAGUAUCCAUGCCCCAAAUACCUCCCACCCAAGGAAAGUCGUCCGGUACAUUUGAGAGCUUUUCGCUGACUUGGGGCCCUCAGUGCCGCCAUUUUCCCUCUUUCUCCCUCUCUCCCUUUCCUCUUCCCCCUUCCAUACUGGUUGCCUGUCUGUCACUUCAAUUCAGUCCAGCCAUCUGGAACCUUCCCUACUAGAUAAUAUCUCCACCUCAAAUUAAAAAAUGGCCCUUUCCUACUUGAUCAGAGCCCUGGUAUCUGGAUGGUUGAGGAAGAUUGCUGAAUGGCAGUAUGAGGUGGAGAUUUCCUGGGGAUUUCAAUCACCUUGCUCCCCCUCUACCCUUCAUGAUAAAGGCUAAUCAGGAGGGGAAUGAAAACAACACGCAAUCUUACGAGAAAUGAGGAAUGGGCCAGAUGCAACCCACAGAGGCUGGCUGAGAUUUCAAUUUUCUUACUGUAAUGAAAACUGCAUUUCCAUGAACCGUUGCGGUAGAAAUUACUUACCGGCGGUCACCUGUGAUAGCAUCACCCCGCGGCUCACGUGGUGGGCACGGAUGCCGCCAGGGACGGUUGCUGAAGCUCCUUCUCGUGAUCACCUUCCACGCGGUCCUCAGGAUGCCGCAGACGGGCAGAGGCGGCGCUUUCGUGUGGGAAACGAGGCCCGAUCCGCAAAAUGAUGGUGAUUUAAAACGGUCGUCCCGUCUCCUACCCUUUCCCUGUGACCUUUCCUUCACGGUUGGAAUCUGUGAUUUUCUGCUGGGGUCCUGCAGGAUGCCAGAUGGAGGUCAACCAUAAUAAGUGAUGGCAUUACGUUCAGGUACCUGCUACGUGCCAGGCAGUGAACUGGUGCGUCUUUUAUGUUCUCCCUCAUCAUUUCCAUUAUCCCGUGCACCAAAGAUUGUCCUCCAGUGCUCUCCUUUCCUUUCUUCCUUAAUAAUAUAAUUACACUUUUUUUUUUUCUUUAAACGAGGCACAUGAAUUCCUACAAGAAGACCACAUAGCCCAGCCUCCCCUGUGGCUACGUGUGCCCAUGAGGUCAUUGUGUUGGAAGCAGAAGUGUUCUGUGCAGUUCUGAGGAAGUGUCCUAAACAGGAAGAAACAUGCCCCUUUUUUUCUCUUCUUUUCUAUGCCAGUUGGAACGUGGAUGUGAUGGCUGGAUGUGAACAGCCUUCUUAGACCAUGAGGUGGAAACCACUUGUUGAGCAUGGUAAAGCAAUGAGAAGGAGCUAGAGUCGCUGAUGAUUGUGGAGGAGAAUUUUGAGGGUUUUGGUCACCUGAUCUGAUCCUGUCCUACCAAAAGCACCCAGUAAGAAAGUCGUAGAAUGAGGUGUUGGGGAAUAUGGGCUCUGGGGUCAGAUACACCCGGAUUAAAACCUUACCUCUCCUACGCUUAUCAGCUCCAUGAUCUUGGGCAAAUUACUUAACUGUUCUAUGUCUGAUUCUUCAUUUGCAAAAUCAGUAUAAAUAAAAAGUAAGCAAAAGGGAUUUGGGGAAAAAUCUUUAAAAAUUUUCAGCAUAGUGCCUGGCACAUGGUCAGUGCAUGACAAAGGAUAGAUAGUAUUAUUCUAAUAUUAUAGAUGAGGAAACAAACUUCAGCAAAGUUAGGAAACUUCUCCAAGGCCAUGAACACAGAUAAAUAACAGAGUACUAGAUCCGGAAGCUCCCGAGUUUUCCAUGACAUUGACCACCAUGGAUGCCCAGAUGUCACCAUGAAAAACAAGGGAAAAAAAUUGAACUCUUUUUUAUACUUUGUAGUGAGCACAUGUACAUGUGCGCGCGCGCACACACACACACACACACACACACACUACACACUUUAGGUAGUUCAGUGCAUUCUUCGAAUGUAAAAUUAGCAGUUUUACAAAACAAUCUACCAAAAUGGAAACGUUUGUUUGAACUAACAUGUACUAAUAUCACUAGGUACAAAGUUUCCAGCAAGCUAUGCUGCUGUCUGCUGACCCCUCAGGGUCACCUGCUGGUGAUCAGUCCCCUGUGACAUGGUCACAUUCUGCAUUUCCUUGUGUCCACACCGAGCUCAAGCUCAUUUUUCAAUUUGCAGAUGAGUUGAGCUCAGAAUAUCAGUCCUUAGUAUGUCAAGUCUGUGCAGUGGUGUCCUUCCGACCCAGACUUUCUGUCAGACCAGGGCUAAGGUUUGGAUGGGAUUGUUUUAUGGCAACUGUGAGCUUCUAACAAUGAGGGUGGCUCAGUGGCCCAUAAGUCAAAGUGGAUGAUUUGAGAAGGCUGUGAACUCUAUCAAGGCAGGGACUGUGUCUGUUUUGUUCACCGAUGUAUCUCUACUCAGAAGGACUUAAUCACUAUGUACUGAAUCGUGUUUGGAUGAAUGAGGGCUCUCAGGAUCACCAUGCAAUAAACCAUCAUGGCUGAAUCAAACCACCGAACUGAUGCUCACUGGACUUCCCCAUGGGGCCCAAGUAUGGGGGUCGCUUGUCCAGCACCCAACCCUACCAUUCCAAUUGUACUCCUUCUGUCUUUUAGGGAGCUUCCCACUAUGGGCUGCUUUGGGGAGGGCAGAUGGUGGAGGGAAGUGCCUGCUCUUAUAAAUCAAAGUGGUCAGAUCCUCUCUCUGGGAGCUUCGAAUUCAAACAACUGUUGCAAGGAUGUAAGAUGAUUGGAGGCUGUUCACUGCAGGACCUGGAUGGAGUGUAGGCCAUAUGCUUCUGCUCUGAGUUUUGCUGUGUCUCCUUCAACCUUGCCUUUACCAGCUCCCUUAGUCCUGCCCACGUUCCCACCCUCGACUUCAAACCUCCCACAGAUUCUGAUGUGCCUUAAAGUCAUUGAAUAAUCCCCAGCCCCUUUGUUUCUUAAAAUAGCUUUCAAGCAAAAUUGCAAGAGGGAUUUUGCUGCUAAUCUUGGUCUUCACUGAUAGACCUAAAGCUUAUCUGGUAAAUUUCCAAAUAGCAACUUGGGAGAAGUUGUGCAGUCAAGGCCAAUAUUUUUCAAUUUGAAAUAUGGAGACUGAAGUAAUUGGAGAAGGUGACAGUGACUAUUUUUGAGAUGAUUAUUAGGAGCAACUCUUUGGCACUGAAAAAGUUGGAGAGAAGUGAGUUGAAAACUGGCUCCAUGGCUAAAUAUGGUGCCAAACACCUAAUUUUACAAUUGUCGGUGAAUUUUUUCUCAUCAACAAAGAAUGUACUUUGGCACGUUUCUCUCCCACCCUCACAGGAUGGUCAUCGCUGUGCUCUUCACAUGUUGUGAGAAUUCUGGGUCAUUUUCUCAAGUUUGGAAUUGUGGAUGUGGCCGUGGCUGUUUCCAGACAGAAAACAGUGGAAUCCUGGAAAGAGUCAAACAAUCAACUGUGAUUUUGUACUUCGGUCCAGAUGAAUUAAGCAAGCAGAUCCUUUGGGUUUUACACAUCUAUGAAAUAUCAGGCCCUCAUGUUCUCCUUUUGGGGUGUUCUUCCUCAAAAAGAAUGCACUUUCACUAUUUAAAUCAUAUCAGUAAAUAGUCAUAUUGUGUCUUAUGGUUUUUUGGUCCUUCUGUCUUAAAAAGAAUGAUUUCAAGAAUGAAGUUUCACAUGCCGAUUUGAAUAGUUUAAUUUUUGUUGGAAUAAUUAGUUCCCUUCCUUCUCAUCUUUUUCUGAACCCACUGGAAAAAAAAAAAAAGACAAAGGAGAGAGGCAGAGAGACACCAAAAUAACAUCUUUCCUAUUGAUAAAGCUGACAUUGGAGAAAGUGGAAUAUAUCUGUGGCCAAAUGGACUUCCUAAUCGUGAGUGCACGUGCUGGCUGCACCAGCCGAUCUGGUCAGAGGCAGAAGCAGACCACUGCUGGCCUCCACACACGGGAAGCGUGGAGAGCUUUACUGCUGUGCUUGCCAUGGGUUUGACAGCCAUCUAGAGCAUGUUUUCUCUGCUAUUUCCUACAAGGAAGAAGAGACAGGAAGGGGCUGGUCUGUGCAUGCUUGGUUUCUUCCCACAGAUUCCUCAAUUAGGUCCUGGUUACUGUGCCCAAUAAGUGAAAGCUUUCCUGGGUCAUCCGCUGAAAUGCUGGGAAGUCCAAAGAGGUGAGGAGCAUAGCUUUGCCAGUGAGACUGUCCCGGAGUUCAGACCCCCACCACUGAGAAGCACCUUGCACUCCCAGAAGCCUUCCCAGGCUCAGUUUUCUCAUCUGUAAAACAAAAAAACACCCACCCCUACAGGACUUCAGUGAGGAUUAAAAUAUGAUAUAAAGGGCUUGGCCUCUAGUAACACUUUCUAAAUAAUUCAUAUUUUAUAAAAAUGCUCUCGGCUUUAAUUUGGCUUCAGGCUUUUGAUCAGACAAUAAUAUUUAUUAUACACUUAGUAGGUAUGAAAGGGAGCAGAAAGAGGUCUGAAGUCUAGGGUGACAGGUAAGACACACACAGAAUAGAAAACUGUGGGAUCAGGGACAAGUGGCUUAUUUCUACCCGACAUCUGGAAGAGGUAGAGAAUCUGAAUAGGGUGUACAUUUGAGGACAAACAGCAAAGUGACUUCCCUUUUCCUAGCUAUGAAUUUGGGAUAUUCUUCUCUUUUCCUGUUUGGGCUUUUGUGUUCCUCAGAGAGGAGACCUCUAAUUCUGAGAAGUGGGCAAGAGGAGGUCAAACUGCUGCUCACAAAACAAUGACUCAAAACCCUGAGUCUUUUCCGGAUUUACCUACUUUUAAAAACCAAAAAUCCUUUGCCCCCCCUCAGGCCUGCUGGAGGAACAGGGGCUCCUGUGGCUUUCUGGCAAAGGCAGUCAGGGUGUGAGGAAACCAGAAGGAACCAAAACACAAUGAGAAACCCCGUUCAGCCGACCACGGAAAAGUCCUCUUUGUUGUUUGAAAUUUUUAUCUUGUUUGUGGCAAAUCUAAUGAUUCAGUAACGACCACAGCUGUGUUGGGGCCCACGAAUUUCCUCAGAGGCUUCCCCCCACCCCCACCCCCCACUUGAGAGCAGGAACAAGGCCAGCUGGGUAGGCCACCCUCCUCCAGCUCUCUUCCCAGUCUCUGCAAUGUGUUUGGGACAAGCAGCGCUUGGGGCCGCCCGUCCGGAGAUUUUAUCCGACUUCUCCUGAAUCUAAUUCCGUGGGGGAGGAAGCGAAGUAAAACUGGCUGUUUUAGGUUCAUGGACGAUGCAUUUCUGGGCACGAGGUUCAGCUCUCUGUAUCCUGCUAUUGAAGUAAGUUUGAGAGAGUCAAAUCGUUUCUCACUGUGGUCCUCACUGUGGUAAUGACAGAGAGUCACAGAGAAGAUUCCGGUUUCCCAGACCCCGCCGAGGGGGGGGGGCAGCUGGCACCUGGCAGCAACCACCUGCUUGCCUCUGAUUUCCCUGGGUCAGCAUCUCCCUACUGUGUGCGCUGGGCCAAGGAGCAGCAACAAGAAGGAAAGACAAGGCAAGGUGGCCGCCGAGGGGCUCGGGGUUCUGCAUGAUCUCAGCGUGCAGCUGCAGCUGGCGUGGGUGCGGCUCCCGUGGGGAGGCCCUGGGGGCUCGGUCUCACUGGCAUGCUAAUGUCCCUCCCUGCCUCACAUGCCUCAUCUGGGAAAUGAAGGCAUGGGGGUGUGUAUGUGCGGGGGUGGGGAGGGUGGGGAGCUGUGCAUUCAUUCAUUCAUUCAUUCAUCCAUGGAUCUGUUUGUUUAUUCAUCCCCUUAUUUUUUUUUUUUUCCCCCACACAUUGAUUCUGUGCUAGGUGCUGGGGAUGCAGAAAUGAGUAAGAUUGGGCUCCUGCCCUCCUGGGAUCACAGUCUUAUGGGCAGGAUAGGUAAAUACGCAAAUAAACCCAGAAAAGUCAUCUGCGUGAUAACAGGAGUGUAAGGCGCCCAGCCCUGUUUAGAGAUGUCGAGAUAGCUCAACGGAAAGGAUGAGUGAAGGAUGCCAAAAGCGUGGAAGAGUAUUCCAGGGGGAAGCCUAGAUCUUGCAAAAGAACUUUGCCGGAGAACGAUGGCAAGGCCGAAAGAUCUUUCAGGGAGGGAAAGGCAGAGAAGGCAGUGGCGACUCUCAGUUCUCAGUAUCCACCUGAGAUUCCAGUUUAUCGAGUCAAAGGAAUUUUUCCUUCCUCUGAAUUUUGAAAACCAUUCCGGCCCUUCUCAGACUCUCCCAACUGUUUGAAUACCACAGAUGGGGCCGCUGACACUUGUUACCAGGUCAGGCAUGGAGAGAUCUCUUGUUGUAUUUUUCACACAGACCCUUGAUGGAGCCUGAAGAGUUUAUGGAGACAGCUGUGAUUCUUACGUUCUGUGGGGUCAAGGGCUCCUUGGAGAAUGGGAAGAAAGUGAUAAAUCAUCUCCCCAGAAAAUACACAUCAUUUCCAUAAAUUUUCAGGCGUUUCUAGAAUCCUCCCCCCUGCCCAACCCACUCAUACGUUCCAGGUAAAGAACUUCCCUCCUAGCCUUGAGCCAUGGAUCAGGCGACUGGCGUGACCCAGUGUAGACGCUGAGUUUUGUGGCUAUCUGACCUGAUGUGGGCAUUCAGCUUGGACGUUCUUGAGAAAGCAACACCCCAAGAAAGACCCUGGGCUGGCAUGCAGUGUAGACAAGUGCACUUUGCUCAGACUUGCAGCCCAGUGGUCUGGGACCUGGCAAAAGCAGGGAGGCAAGUUGCCCACUCACGAGCAGUGAUCUGUGGAGGUCAGAGAUGGACUGAGGUCGGUGACAGGCAGAGGUCGGUGAUGGGCGGAGGUCAGUGAACAGCAAAUGUGUUUUGUCAGGCUCCCCAGCAAUUACACUGAAGUGUGUCCCCGUCUGGGUACUUUUUUUUGACUUGAGUUGGCAAAUUGGGUAGGAGGGAUGGUGGUGAUGCCAAGGCCAUUCUCAGACGGGAUAGAGCAAAGGCAGAUGAGCAAGGAGACCACAGGAGCUGUUGUAGCUCAGGUACCGACAGAGCUUUGAAAGGAAACAGAAUCCUUUGUCAGAGGACCUCAGCAGCCCCAUACUAGGGUGAAGCAAGAGGAGUUUUCCAUGGGUGCACGAUGUCAGGGGGGAGUGCCCAAAACUCAGUAAUUAAGAUAACUAAUAUUUUGAUGCACUUUUAAAAGGUCAAAAUUAAUGCAAACAUCCACGAUGAAAAGAAUUUCAAAAAAAAUUUUUUUAAAUUUUUUAAUGCUUAUUUAGUUUUUAGAGAGAGAGAGACAGAGCAUGAGUGCAGGUGGGGCAGAGAGAGAGAGAGAGAGAGAGAGAGAGACAUACACAGAAUCCGAAGCAGGCUCCAGGCUCUGAGCUGUCAGCACAGAGCCAGACGUGGAGCUUGAACUCACAGACCGUGAGAUCAUGACCUGAGUCGAAGUCAGACACAACCAACUGAGCCACCCAGGCGUCCCAAGGAUUUCAAAAUUUUAAAUGCAGAUGAGAUGCAACCCUUGCAUGGAUGGGAUGCCUCCUACCUCACCUUAAUCCCAGCCCUAGGCUCUGGAACCAAGAAAUGCAUGCCUCUAAAGUCCCAAACUUGUAUUCGAGUAAGACUUUGAGUUUCAUGAAGUUAGUGCCUAGACAGUGGUGAGUUGUUUCUUGUAGUUGUCUAGGAGUGGUUCCCAGACAGCGUGAACACUGGUCCGUCCCCCUGUACCUGCGAGCCCACCUUUGCCCAAGGAAUAUUGUUGGCAGUGACCCAAAUAUGCCACCAGGUGGCACUCUUGCUUUGCUCCAUCCAGGUGCCCCUGCAAUGGGGAUUCUUAGCCAAGCUAAAGAUAUUUAAACUAGUUGCUAAACUGUUGCCAGUUGUUUUCUGAAAGGCCAGAAAGAAUCCGGAGCAGGAAUGAGGGUAAGCGGAGAGGCCAUAUGAAGAGCAUUGGAGGGAUCGCCUGGAGAGCCAGGAGCCAGGUACAGCCUGAUUAGUAACAAUAGGCCGGACUGCUUUUCAGCAGGUGAGAAAAACGAGAAUUUUAAACCAUCUUUUGUUCUCUUGUGCAGUAUAAACACACGUGACAUGGGAGAGAAAAGGGGGAUUAAUGGUUUUCUGUGAAGCAAAGCCUGGUGGGAAGAGCUCUGAUGCUGGCUCCACCACCGGCUAGCUGUGAUCUUGGACAGAUAACUGGACUUUGCAAGCCUGAAAUUCUUCAUCUUUAAAUGGGGAUCACUGUAGCCGCCCCCCCACCGGGGGAUCAUUAGAAGAUCAAAUAAACUGAUGUGCAGGAGGCCUUGGACAUGGUGCCUGGUACCUAGAAAAUGUUCAACAAAAGAGAGGUGCUAUGAUGGACUUCUAGGCAAAGCCUGAACGGCUAGAUUUUGUGCCCCCCUCCCCGCCCCGGCCCCCCCCCCCUCCCUCUGGCUGUUAUUGAUUAAGAGAUGACCUCAGAGUGACCCGGAGAAAUAACUUGAUAAUGAACCAUGGCUUUAGCAGAGUCAACCAGAAGAAUUUCCCACCUGGAUUGAGUUUCACAGGUGUGAUUUUUGAACCAGGAAAUCAAGCUGGGUUCCCUGGCAAAACUGUCUCACCCUUGGCGACCGGGGAAACGUCUGACCACCAGGUGACUGGCCCCGCUUAAGCUGUGCAUUGUUGCAGAAUGGUUCCUGUUUAUCGAGGCUUACUUUGUGUCAGUCACUUCACUAAGCACUUUGCACCCACUGUUUCAUUUAUGCCUUAAUACCACCUGGAGAAGUAACUGAGUCCAUUUUACAGACAAGGAAAUGUAGGUUUAGCGAGACUUAGUACCUUAUCAAGGCUCCUUCUGACAGUAAUUGGUUUAAACUUAGAUCUAUCUGACUUCUAAAUCAAUCCAUCUAUCAUCUGUCUGGCUACCUAUCUACCAUCUGUCUAAUGGCCUCUCAUCUGUCUAUUUGAUGUGUUAAAUACAAACCACUUUGAUCUACUAAUUAAGACAAGUUCCUUCGAAACCUUGAGACUCUAGGGAAGUCUUUUUUGACCUCAGUUCAAGCUUCUCCUUUGAAAAUGUAGAGAUGUAUUCAUGGCUGGAGUUGUGCAGCUACAUCAUCCAUAACACAUACACGUGAUCUUCUGGGAAGCAUGUUGUUACUCAGAGGCCCCGUAACCUAGGUUAGGACCCACUCUUGUGUUGGCCACACUUCCGGGGGUUCUGGGAGAGAGAAUGGUGUGCUGUGUCCUCUCCCUUGGGAGGACAGACAAUGCCACUCUCGUUCUGCGUCGAGCUCCCUCUGCUGCUACGAACAAACCUAGUUGAGCAGAACGGUCUCAUUUUUCAAUGGGAAGCUGUUGGGUGAGGGAGGAAGUGUCAGAACAUCAGAUCAGCCUGACUUGGUUGCGAGAGACGGCAGAGGAGCAAAUCUGCCUUCCCAAGGGAAAAACAUCACCGGCCAUCGGUGGAGGGAAUUUGGCUUUUGGUUCCUAACUGGAGAAGACAGCUACCUGUCAAAUGGCGUGGAGUCGACUGGGGAGCCAGUGUGGCUAUGUUCCCACUUAGCGAUGUUUGGUUUUCUCUCCAGAAAUGUACUUUAUUUCCUCUAAAUUUGUACUGUAGCUCAUCUCAGAUUAAUAAAGUUUCCUCUAUUAAAGGAG